AAACCCCUGCGGUGUACGUGAGGUCAUCAUCCACCUGGACCGUUAAUCGUGGCCAUCGGAGCCAAGCUCUGACCGUGGAGAGCGAGCCUACUCGGCUUACCAGAUGCGGUCAUCCCAGCUCCACCCUUACACAAGGGUUCAUGGCGGUUGUCAACCCACGGCACAGGCGGGGGUUUG
RNAcentral lists this non-coding RNA (177 nucleotides) under Magnetococcales bacterium. RNAcentral describes it as "6S RNA". It matches the Rfam family "6S / SsrS RNA". From Rfam's summary of the family: E. coli 6S RNA was the first non coding RNA to be sequenced, but its function was unknown until recently. It consists of 184 nucleotides that fold into an extended hairpin structure with a large single-stranded internal bulge. Lineage: Bacteria; Pseudomonadati; Pseudomonadota; Magnetococcia; Magnetococcales. The record is from RNAcentral.